This 474-nucleotide ribosomal RNA is filed under the name uncultured prokaryote. RNAcentral's name for it is "bacterial SSU rRNA". The stretch from base 78 to 474 matches the Rfam family "Bacterial small subunit ribosomal RNA", at positions 1 to 905 of the family's 1533-position model. The record is from RNAcentral.
GUGAGGGCACAUGGCGUUCAGGUGGCGCAACUAACGCAUCAAGUCCAUCCGCCUGGGGAGUACGGUCGCAAGAUUAAAACUCACAGGAAUUGACGGAAGAUCAGAGCAUUGUCCGGAUAUAUAGGGCAUUAAAAGUACGUACGUGGUAUGUAAAGUUUGGUGUUAAAAAUCGGGGCUCAACCCUGGGACUGCACUGAAUACUGGCAGACUCGAGUGUGGUAGAGGCUAGUGGAAUUCCCAGUGUAGCGGUGAAAUGCGUAGAUAUUGGGAAGAACACCGGUGGCGUAGGCGACUAGCUGGGCCAUAACUGACGCUGAGGAACGAAAGCCAGGGGAGCGAAUGGGAUUAGAUACCCCAGUAGUCCUGGCCGUAAACGAUGGAUACUAGGCGUAUCGGGUAUCGACCCCUGAUGUGCCGCAGCUAACGCGAUAAGUAUCCCGCCUGAGUAGUACGGCCGCAAGGUUGAAACUCAAA